ACCAACCAUUUCUUAUUACAAGAAACAUCAUAAAAUAUAUGUAGUGUUUGAAACAUGUAAGUCCAAGCGGUGCUUCAAUUUGUUACUAAUGAGUAAGUUGGUCAAUACAUCAACUAUAUUUUCUAAAGUAUGAACUUUUUCAUGUAAUAUGUAUCAAGGUGUAAGUAAAUCUCUAAUGUGUGAUACCUCACAUCAAUAUGUUUGGUUUGGGCAUCAUACACCUCAAUGUUUGCCAAAUAAAUGGCACAUUGACUAUCACAUUUCAAUUGAACUCCACAUUGUUUAACACCCAAUUUUCUCGCCCUUUGCCUAGCUUGUGUCUAUAUACAAGUUAUACUCAACAUAAAUGAUAAACCAUUUACAAUACUCCCUUCGUCUCAAAUUGUAUGUCGCUUUAGGGAAAUUUUUGUAUCCCAAAUUAUAUGUCGCUUUACAAUACUAAUGCAACAUUAAUGUUACUUUUCCUAUUAUAACCUUAGCUAUUUAUUACUCUUCUUUCAAUUCUUUCAUUUAUCUUUCUCAUAUUAUUUAUUAAGAACAAUUUUGUAAAACAACUCAUAAUAUCUCUUUUCCACAGAAUAUUAAUUGCAUUUCUUAAUAUGUGCGGAAUGCCUAAAACGUCAUAUAAUUUGGGACGGAGGGAGUAUCAUUAAUUAAUUUUUAUAAAAGAAUUUUAAAAAAUUACUAUCAUUUGAAAAAUAUAAAGCAUGUAUCUAAUUGUGUCAUACAUGUCACACAUCCAUAACCUAAAUGGAGCAUUAGAUAAAUGAAGCAUACCUUUUUUUGCUUCAUUUAUCUAAUGCUCCAUUUAGGUUAUGGAUGUGUGACAUGUGGCAAAAAAAGAUCUUAGGAUUGAGAUUUAUAAUAAAAAAACAAAUAUUUAUUUGAUAAAAAAAGUAACAAAACAAAACGUGUCCUUCUGCUCCCCUUCCUCUCAUUGCCAUAAACCUCCUCCACCCGUUGCCGUUCGUCGCCGUUGAUCGCCUUAUUAACAACAUCUCCCCUCUUCCACUCAUCGUCGUCAUGUUGCCGUUGUUUCAAACCAUUGCUGUUGAUGUUAUUGAUUUUCAACUUGGUUUUGCAGCCUUCUCAAAACUGCAAUUCUUUCUUGUUUCAAUUCUGAUUUGGUUUCUUUGCUGGUUUUUGUGUUGACAAUUGGAUUAUUUAAGGAGAUAAUCAUCCAACGAAAUAUGUUUCAGCCAAAAAGGACAGAUUGAAGGAAACGGGGAAACAAAUCUUGAAACAGUGGUAUACGCCAGUGGCGCGGAGACCAUAGUGAGAGGAGAGAGACGAUGAAAGGAUAAGGAAACGACAGUGAUUGGUGGCGAUAGGUCAUGAAACGAGAGGGAAGGAGGAAACACGUAAAGGAGGAGAGCAUAAAUUUGUUUUUUAUUAUAAAUCUCAACCUUAAGAUAUUUUUUUGCCAUAUGUCACACAUUCAUAGCCUAAAUUGACUAAUAUAGUAACUAGUAAUUGGGUGAAUGAAAGUGUAACUUGUGUGUGACGUUGAGUAACGCUUAUAUAGCCAAGGAGUUCGAUAACUACCUAUGUAUUACGCGACGUAAAUCCUGAACGCCAUUAGAGAUGACUAUGACUCUAGGAUAUGAUCAUGGCGCGCUACUGUGCGGCAAGGGCCACAAGGCUUCAUGUGCACCUUCACGGUGCUUCUUUUUGAAUAGCAUGGACCUUGGCUUUAUUAGUUCGUUUGCAAUGGGCUUUCUGCUAUUCCGGAAUAAUAACCAUAAAAAUGGGUUGAGAAAGAACGAAUGGGAAAGGCACAGAUUGAGAUUUGGAGGAUUGUUAUUUCUACUUACUAUCAAUCGCCCUGAAUGAAGGUAAGAUUUUAAGUGUAUUUAUUAUGUGAAAAUAAUAGAUUUUAAAAUCUUUGAAAUCAUGAUAGUUUUCUUGAAUGCAAACAUGAUUCUGAAAAUUAUAAUUUACAAUGUGGUUUUCAAAAAUUAAAUUACCCACCACUAGAAGAGAGAUGGAGAGACAUGGUAUCUUUACACAAAACUUGAAGACAUAAGAUAUAUGAGUCACACCCUUAUACAAUCAACAUUUAUCCCAUUAUUUUUUGGGUCAAGUUAACUUAUGGCAUUAGGGCACAUGUUAAGGAGUUUAAAAUUGAAAUUAAAAAAAAAAUUAUAUUGAAAGUAUAACUUUUGGAACUUUUAAGAUAUUGAAUGCACAAGUUUCAAAAAAAACCUUCUACGUUUGACUUCUUACCUUAUGCACAAAGGGCAUAAGUUAACCUUUCCCUUUUUUUUAACAUAUUUCUGACAAACCACUCACACUUAAACAUAAUAGAGAAUUGAUGUUGACACUUAAAUUAUUAUUUUGUUUAGUAGUUAGUAAUAUAUAUAUAUAUAUAUAUAUAUAUAUAUAUAUAUAUAUAUAUAUAUAUAUAUAUAUAUUGAAUUCGCUUUGAUUAAUUCAAUUGAAAAGAUAUUUUUAAAUAACUUUGAUUAUAAAUGAAUAUUUUGCAACAAAAAAUGCAAGAAGAAAAAUAUUUGAAUAAUUAAAAGGAUAUAAUUUAUAGUUUUAUCCAGGGCACCAAAAAUCUUCGGGCUGACCCUGAACCCAAGCUCACGGGUUUUUAACUGGUUUCUAAUCAAAUCUAUACAAUUUAGUCAUCUCAUGGUAUCAUUUAUUUAUGUUAAUCAUGGUAAGCUGCUAAUGCACAAUGAAAUCUUACAUGAAAGCUCUCAACGAAGCUUGUUUUUUAUUUUUCUAUUUUCUAUCCAACCAAUUUAUUGUAUUUUACUAUUUCCCACCUAACAAACAAAAUAGGAUCUCUAACUCAAAGCGUGUGUUUCAUUUGUUUAUGAUACUAUGAGAUGCAGCCACGAAGCAAAAAGUAAUUAAACAACUUCAAUGAUUGCAAAACUUUUACUAUUAUUUGACCGAUUCACUCUUUUGUACGUUGUGAAGGAUUCAAACUAACAUUCACACGGUUACUAAUACUUUUGAAGAAAAACAAACAUUUUUUCAAUUGACUAGUUGACUUGACGGUCUUUAAAGUCUUCCUAUCAACCUUAUAUAUAUAGUUACCAAUUCUCAUCUUUACUUCAUCACCACUUCAUUGCUAAAAAACACUUCACUCAAAACUUGCUCCUCUAUAAUUCCUUUGCACUUGUCAUCUAUAAUUCUUAAUCAGCUCGCACAAACUCCAACAACUAUGAAGGUCAGAAUUUGAAUCUUGAAAUUCUUUUUUCUUCUUCAUUUUUCUCAUUUAAUUUACUAUGUUUUCAUGCAUGAAUUAUGUUGUUGUUGUCCCUUUUUUGCAUCCUUUUAUAUUUUAGAAUGGUAGUAAUAAUUGCUGGAUUUUAAUUCUUUGAUUUACUUUUUGUUAACAGAAAGUGUUGUUGAAAGUGGACUUUUAUAAUGAUAGAAUCAAGCAAAAAGUUAUGAAGACAGCAUCUAGCCUUCCAGGUAUAUAUAUAUUGAAUUUCAUAUAUCAUAUAAGUACCACUGCUAUGUAACGUGGCUAAAUUACAUGACUAGUAAGUUACAGAGCGAAAUGACCAAAAAUUUUUAGAGGUGGUUAACUACCGUUGGCAUAUAAUUAAAAAAUCGGCUAAACAUAUCAAAUGUUGCGGUAAUCUUUUAUCAUCUUCACUUACGAUACCAUCAUGAUUGAUUUUAAUUUUUGAAGAUAUAAUAUGACUCUAAGUUACAUUAAUUUGAUAAGGUCCAUUUCUAACACAAUCUAACUUUAUUAAAAAAAAAUUAAAUAAGGCAAAAUUAUUAUUAAUAUCGAUGACAGUCACAGUUAUUUUACAACUAUUUCAAAUAGUAUUUGAACUUCGUCAUUCAAGAAUGAAAACUAAUUUAAUUUGACCUUUGUGUAAAUAAAAAGACAAACCAUCUAACACAAAUGAUUCAUUUUUUUCUUAUUAUUUUGCAGGGUUUGAAUCAUUAUCAAUAGACUCGAAAGAGAAGAAAUUGACAGUAUCUGGGGAUAUUGAUCCAGUAAAGGUAGUGUGCAAGCUAAGAAAGUUGUGUCAAACUGAAAUAGUAUCGAUUGGACCUCUAAAAGAUGAGAAGAAGGAUUCAACAAAUACAAAUGAAGUUAUUCCACUUCAACACUUUGGAACCUAUCCAUUUUAUUAUCAGAUGACCCCACCACAAUAUUUUCAAAAUUACUACUACGUUUGAUGUGCAUAAUAAGAAAAGAAUCUUUUAUUGAGUUUGAUAAAAUACAUCUUGUGUUUUCCUUGAAUUUUAUUUUUACUUUAUAUGACCUAGAAUUGGAUUAUGCUUGUCUUCCUUCCAAAUCAUGCAAACAGAUCACUAAGAAAUUAAGCGUCACCACCAACCAUUUCUUAUUACAAGAAACAUCAUAAAUAUAUUAAUAAGAUAAAAUAUAUGUAGUGUUUGAAACAUGUAAGUCCAAGCGGUGCUUCAAUUUGUUACUAAUGAGUAACUUGGUCAAUACAUCAACUAUAUUUUCUAAAGUAUGAACUUUUUCAUGUAAUAUCUAUCAAGGUGUAAGUAAAUCUCUAAUGUGUGAUACCUCACAUCAAUAUGUUUGGUUUGGGUAUCCAUACACCUCAAUGUUUGCCAAAUAAAUGGCACAUUGACUAUCACAUUACAAUCAAACUCCACAUUGUUUAACACCCAAUUUUCUCGCCCUUUGCAUCGCUUGUCUCUAUAUAUAAGUUAUACUCAACAUAAAUGAUAAACAAUUUACAACUAGUAUAAUGACCCGUGCCAGCACGGGAAGUAAAAAACUUUUUUGAUCAUAUGUAUAGAUUUUAUAUUAUGUUAUCUUAAAGUUAUAAUUGUCGUUAUAAUUUAAAUUCGAUAUGAAAAAAAUAUCAUCUUAAUUUUGUAUAUAUUUUGAAAUAUCUAAACUUUGCAUAUAUCGAUUAAAUUAUUUGGAUUAUUAUACUUGUACUAAUUAUUUGUAGUAUAAGAUGCACUCAUUGUUAUACUUAGCAUAUGUAAUAUUUUUGCAAAAAUAUGCCGACGUACUGUAUAAUAAUAUUUGUUGACAAAAUGUAUUUUAUUAAUCAUAAAAACUAAAAAAUAUGUAUUUUUUUAUAUAUAAUAGUCAGUAUCAUAUGCAUACACGUAGUCGGCAAAUGCAAAUGUUUAAUUUUUUUACGGGUGUGCAUAAAUAUAGUUUGGGCUACAGAAACGCCGAUUGUUAUUUGUUUUUCAUUUUUACAAAACAAAUGGUCUAAUGUAAAUAUUGUAUUUUAGCGUAACAACGAUGUAAAAAAAAAAGGUUCCGCGGAUUGUUAAACUUGAAAAAUGCAUGAAUUAAUAGUCAAUGGCAGGAGGAUCU
This 5293-nucleotide long non-coding RNA is filed under the name Medicago truncatula (barrel medic). RNAcentral's name for it is "long non-coding RNA (MTRU_LNC000351)". Lineage: Eukaryota; Viridiplantae; Streptophyta; Magnoliopsida; Fabales; Fabaceae. The record is from RNAcentral.